This 153-nucleotide microRNA precursor is filed under the name Spodoptera frugiperda (fall armyworm). RNAcentral's name for it is "microRNA sfr-mir-10454f precursor". The record is from miRBase by way of RNAcentral. Lineage: Eukaryota; Metazoa; Arthropoda; Insecta; Lepidoptera; Noctuidae.
GGGGACUUAGUCUGCUAUUACAAUUGUGUCAGAUUGGUCGAUCACUGAUCAGUGCGAGAGGGACGGAGCUAUGUAGGUUGUAUAGCUCCGUUCCUCUCGCACUGAUCAGUGAUCGAUCAUUCUGACACAAUUGUAAUAGCAGACUAAGGCCCC